Molecule: ribosomal RNA, 195 nt
Filed under: uncultured bacterium
Lineage: Bacteria
Description: partial 16S ribosomal RNA
Rfam family: Bacterial small subunit ribosomal RNA
Source: RNAcentral
UCUACGGGAGGCAGCAGUAGGGAAUCUUCCACAAUGGGCGAAAGCCUGAUGGAGCAACGCCGCGUGUGUGACGAAGGGUUUCGGCUCGUAAAACACUGUUGUAAGAGAAGAAUGACAUUGAGAGUAACUGUUCAAUGUGUGACGGUAUCUUACCAGAAAGGAACGGCUAAAUACGUGCCAGCAGCCGCGGUAAUA